RNAcentral lists this ribosomal RNA (329 nucleotides) under uncultured Streptococcus sp. RNAcentral describes it as "bacterial SSU rRNA". It matches the Rfam family "Bacterial small subunit ribosomal RNA", at positions 1050 to 1382 of the family's 1533-position model. The record is from RNAcentral. Lineage: Bacteria; Bacillati; Bacillota; Bacilli; Lactobacillales; Streptococcaceae.
UGUCGUCAGCUCGUGUCGUGAGAUGUUGGGUUAAGUCCCGCAACGAGCGCAACCCCUUAUCUUAAUUGCCAGUCAUUCAGUUGGGCACUCUAGCGAGACUGCCGGUAAUAACCGGAGAAGUGGGGAUGACGUCAAAUCAUCAUGCCCCUUAUGACCUGGGCUACACACGUGCUACAAUGGUUGGUACAACGAGUUGCGAGUCGGUGACGGCGAGCUAAUCUCUUAAAGCCAAUCUCAGUUCGGAUUGUAGGCUGCAACUCGCCUACAUGAAGUCGGAAUCGCUAGUAAUCGCGGAUCAGCACGCCGCGGUGAAUACGUUCCCGGGCCUU